CAAAGUUUCCCUCAAUUAUGCCUUAAAUUACUUAAGUUUGGCUCAUGCUAAAAUAGUGAAGUGGCAAGCAUGCAUAGAGGUUUAGGUGUCAUCUUAAGAAUAAAUGUAAGUGGCUCAUCCUUGCUAAUGACACAUGUCCUCCAUUUUAUUUUAUUUUUUUAUUUUUAGUGUGAAUCUUUCACAAAUCACCUUCAAUUAGUGAGAUUCACAUUUUGGUCCCUCACAAUAUUUUCAAUAUAUAAAAAAAGUAUUUAGUGCUAAAGAAUUAUUUUAAAAAAAAUCCUCAUGUUUACAAAUAAAUCCUUAUAAAUUUUCAAUAAAAAUGAGGGGUGUUACACUCUCCUCUUCUUAGAAGAAAAUUUAGUCCUCUAAAUUNNNNNNNNNNNNNNNNNNNNCACAAAUCACCUUCAAUUAGUGAGAUUCACAUUUUGGUCCCUCACAAUAUUUUCAAUAUAUAAAAAAAGUAUUUAGUGCUAAAGAAUUAUUUUAAAAAAAAUCCUC
This 501-nucleotide long non-coding RNA is filed under the name Musa acuminata (dwarf banana). RNAcentral describes it as "long non-coding RNA (MACU_LNC005219)". The record is from RNAcentral. Lineage: Eukaryota; Viridiplantae; Streptophyta; Magnoliopsida; Zingiberales; Musaceae.